RNAcentral lists this ribosomal RNA (435 nucleotides) under uncultured bacterium. RNAcentral describes it as "partial 16S ribosomal RNA". It matches the Rfam family "Bacterial small subunit ribosomal RNA", at positions 29 to 507 of the family's 1533-position model. The record is from RNAcentral.
AGCGAACGCUGGCGGCAGGCUUAACACAUGCAAGUCGAACGGGCUUCUUCGGAAGUCAGUGGCAGACGGGUGCGUAACACGUGGGAACGUGCCCUUCGGUUCGGAAUAACUCAGGGAAACUUGAGCUAAUACCGGAUACGCCCUUUUGGGGAAAGGUUUACUGCCGAAGGAUCGGCCCGCGUCUGAUUAGCUUGUUGGUGGGGUAACGGCCUACCAAGGCGACGAUCAGUAGCUGGUCUGAGAGGAUGAUCAGCCACACUGGGACUGAGACACGGCCCAGACUCCUACGGGAGGCAGCAGUGGGGAAUAUUGGACAAUGGGCGCAAGCCUGAUCCAGCCAUGCCGCGUGAGUGAUGAAGGCCUUAGGGCUGUAAAGCUCUUUUGUCCGGGACGAUAAUGACGGUACCGGAAGAAUAAGCCCCGGCUAACUUCGUG